UGGGGAAUUUUGGACAAUGGGCGAAAGCCUGAUCCAGCAAUGCCGCGUGUGUGAAGAAGGCCUUCGGGUUGUAAAGCACUUUUGUCCGGAAAGAAAUCCUUGGCUCUAAUACAGUCGGGGGAUGACGGUGCCGGAAGAAUAAGCACCGGCUAACUACGUGCCAGCAGCCGCGGUAAUACGUAGGGUGCAAGCGUUAAUCGGAAUUACUGGGCGUAAAGCGUGCGCAGGCGGUUUGCUAAGACCGAUGUGAAAUCCCCGGGCUCAACCUGGGAACUGCAUUGGUGACUGGCAGGCUAGAGUAUGGCAGAGGGGGGUAGAAUUCCACGUGUAGCAGUGAAAUGCGUAGAGAUGUGGAGGAAUACCGAUGGCGAAGGCAGCCCCCUGGGCCAAUACUGACGCUCAUGCACGAAAGCGUGGGGAGCAAACAGGAUUAGAUACCCUGGUAGUCCACGCCCUAAACGAUGUCAACUAGUUGUUGGGGAUUCAUUUCCUUAGUAACGUAGCUAACGCGUGAAGUUGACCGCCUGGGGAGUACGGUCGCAAGAUUAAAA
This 551-nucleotide ribosomal RNA is filed under the name uncultured bacterium. RNAcentral's name for it is "partial 16S ribosomal RNA". It matches the Rfam family "Bacterial small subunit ribosomal RNA", at positions 355 to 899 of the family's 1533-position model. The record is from RNAcentral.